This 1178-nucleotide long non-coding RNA is filed under the name Equus caballus (horse). RNAcentral describes it as "lncRNA (ENSECAG00000046690.1)". Lineage: Eukaryota; Metazoa; Chordata; Mammalia; Perissodactyla; Equidae. The record is from RNAcentral.
GGAUGAGGCUGCCAGAGGAGGCAUUCACAAGGAGCAGAGAGGGAGGCUCCAUGCUGGGCCCAGGAGCAGCAAGUGGAGAGCCUGGAGGUGAGGAGGCAUGGAGCUCUGCACCCAACCUGCCAGGCAGGGCCCAGGGCAGGCGGGGAGGCGAGGGGAGGCCGGAUAGCAGGGAAUCUUCCUGGGGCAUCUGGGCCCAUCCUGAAGCCUCUAGGGAGCCGUAGAAGGUCUGAAGCAAGAGUGACCCCCGACGCGCCUGUGUGAGAAAACACAACUCAGAGAGGUGGACUCACCUGUUCAGUUCACCAGCUAGUAACAGACGCACAAGGCACCGGAACAGGGGCUCCGAACCGGGCCUCCGCGGCGCCAAAAAGCACAUCUUCUGUCUUCCUCAGCCCCACCUGAAGUUGAGCGUUUCCUCCCAUGACGAAUGUGGGCCACAAACGCUGUUACGGCGCCCGGGAUCAUGGGCUUACAAACGUCCCUGUUUGCACACUGCACCACAGUUCUGACAGUUAUUUCGAAAUUCUGCUCCUGCUCCUCACGUCUUCCAAAUGGCGGUCAUCACGACCUGCCACUAGAUCUUGCUAGUUCGCGUGUUAGCAAUGAAACACACAUACAGCUCUAGCACGAUUUGUAUAACUAUUUCAAUAUCAUUGGUUUACUUUGUAAUCCUUUGGUUUUUUAUCCUAGGCUUCUGAAAACAUUGUUCUGAAAAGGGUCCACAGGCUCCCUAUCAUCCCGAGAUGAGAGAAAGCUGACCUAAAAGAUGGGCUCCUUCCACCACUCCUCAGUUCUUCAGCCGACACGGCCCAUCCAGGUCCCUGGGGUUUGAUGGACGGGGGCCCUACUGCGCGUAAGGCUCUCGGGGAAGAAUACAGGACUUCUUGUUUUCCCUCAGUCAACACCACAUGGACACGUCAGCUUCAGCCCCUGAGUUUUCAGCAUGGCCCCUAAUUGAAUCACAUUUGUCUUUGUCAGGCCAUGGGUCCCAGACAGGGGCUCAGACACCGUGGCCACAGAACACAGGAACUCCUCAGGUGCAUGACUAACCCUCGAGCAACAGCCAGGAGCUGACAGUGCGUGCAGCUUUGAAGGAGGAGAGACAGUCCACAGGCAGAGGAGAGACAAGGCCCAGGGUGGAGGUCCUGCACCCCGAAUAUUUGCGUCGCCACAGAUGC